This 265-nucleotide ribosomal RNA is filed under the name uncultured Candidatus Sumerlaeota bacterium. RNAcentral describes it as "partial 16S ribosomal RNA". It matches the Rfam family "Bacterial small subunit ribosomal RNA", at positions 1114 to 1382 of the family's 1533-position model. The record is from RNAcentral. Lineage: Bacteria; Candidatus Sumerlaeota.
GUUGCCAUCAGUUCGGCUGGGCACUCUAUGGAGACUGCCACCUAAAGUGAGGAAGUGGGGAUGACGUCAAGUCAGCAUGGCCCUUACUCCGGGGCUACACACGUGCUACAAUGGCCGGUACAAAGGGUUGCGAAGCCGUGAGGUGGAGCGAAUCUCAAAAAGCCGGCCUCAGUUCGGAUUGGAGGCUGCAACUCGCCUCCAUGAAGUCGGAAUCGCUAGUAACCGCAAGAUCAGCUACGUUGCGGUGAAUACGUUCCCGGGCCUU